GAUGAACGCUGGCGGCGUGCCUAAUACAUGCAAGUCGAGCGAACGGACGAGAAGCUUGCUUCUCUGAUGUUAGCGGCGGACGGGUGAGUAACACGUGGAUAACCUACCUAUAAGACUGGGAUAACUUCGGGAAACCGGAGCUAAUACCGGAUAAUAUUUUGAACCGCAUGGUUCAAAAGUGAAAGACGGUCUUGCUGUCACUUAUAGAUGGAUCCGCGCUGCAUUAGCUAGUUGGUAAGGUAACGGCUUACCAAGGCAACGAUGCAUAGCCGACCUGAGAGGGUGAUCGGCCACACUGGAACUGAGACACGGUCCAGACUCCUACGGGAGGCAGCAGUAGGGAAUCUUCCGCAAUGGGCGAAAGCCUGACGGAGCAACGCCGCGUGAGUGAUGAAGGUCUUCGGAUCGUAAAACUCUGUUAUUAGGGAAGAGCAUAUGUGUAAGUAACUGUGCUCAUCUUGACGGUACCUAAUCAGAAAGCCACGGCUAACUACGUG
RNAcentral lists this ribosomal RNA (497 nucleotides) under uncultured bacterium. RNAcentral describes it as "partial 16S ribosomal RNA". It matches the Rfam family "Bacterial small subunit ribosomal RNA", at positions 28 to 507 of the family's 1533-position model. The record is from RNAcentral.